AUGGCAAUACCUACCAUCUUUCAUACAAAAAAAUUCCGUGUUGUUAGUGAUAAUAUUAUUGGAAAAGGAGUUAUUCAACAUUUCUUUACUUGUGCCGGUGCUUUACCUUCUAUGGGUAGUUCUAUCCUUUACAGAACUAGUAGUCUUGCGGGCGCUAUUUCCAUGCUUGUAGUUGAACUUGAAAGACAAUUCAUGCACAUGCAUCCUUCCAUACAAAGGAUUUUUCUGGAAUUUUCUAAUAUUGAGCAUUCUUCUGUUAAGCGUGCCGCUACUAUCUUUUUGGCUCAUGAGUUUAGAUUCAUAAUAAAAUUAGCCAAAGAAAUCUUUGCGCAUUAUAGGGUGGACGCUUGCCGUCCUCUCAUAGAGGCUAUCCUCUUUGAUCAAGAAGAAAUAAUGAGUUUUCAAUCUCUAGACUAUGUUGCUUUCAAUGAAAAUCUUAGAAAAAGGGUUCCUACCAAUGUUUUAGUUGAUAGAAUUUCUAAACUUAUUGAUGAUUUGGCUAUUAGAAAUAAUGAACUAGGAUAUUCUCUUGAAUAUAGGCUCACAAAGUUCUGUCAAAAGAAUGCUUAUAAUGAUGAAUUGGUUGUGCAUUAUGAAGGACCAAAGGAGGAACCUAUACCUCCCAAGGUUGAUUUUGGGGACUUUUGCCCCAUUAAAUUUAGCCCUUUUGAUUACUUUUGCUUGCCUCGAAGAAAACUUGAUGCUGAAUGUAGAGAAUAUGAAAUGAGUUUUAAUAAUCUAUCUUACUAUUAUGGCAAUACCUAG
This 765-nucleotide ribosomal RNA is filed under the name Triticum aestivum (bread wheat). Its description in RNAcentral is "partial small subunit ribosomal RNA". Lineage: Eukaryota; Viridiplantae; Streptophyta; Magnoliopsida; Poales; Poaceae. The record is from RNAcentral.